GAGGGGAGUGGAAUUCCCGGUGUAGAGGUGAAAUUCGUAGAUAUUGGGAAGAACACCGGUGGCGAAGGCGGCUCACUGGWCCKUUUCUGACGCUGAGRCGCGAAAGCGUGGGGAGCAAACAGGAUUAGAUACCCUGGUAGUCCACGCCCUAAACGAUGAGUGCCAGGUGUGGGG
This 174-nucleotide ribosomal RNA is filed under the name uncultured Alphaproteobacteria bacterium. RNAcentral describes it as "partial 16S ribosomal RNA". It matches the Rfam family "Bacterial small subunit ribosomal RNA", at positions 654 to 827 of the family's 1533-position model. Lineage: Bacteria; Pseudomonadati; Pseudomonadota; Alphaproteobacteria. The record is from RNAcentral.